Small nucleolar RNA from Echinops telfairi (small Madagascar hedgehog), 135 nucleotides. The record is from Ensembl. NCBI's taxonomy places the organism in Eukaryota, Metazoa, Chordata, Mammalia, Afrosoricida, Tenrecidae.
AGUCUUUAUACUGACCAUCCACUUUCGGAAACUAGUGUAUGUGGUGUCAAAAAAGGCACAAAUUAAACACUCUCGCGGCCACACUCUGCUUUUGAAUUUGGUGUCUUUGGCAUAAGAGCUGCAUAAGGAACGGUU